Molecule: transfer RNA, 76 nt
Filed under: Roseibium aggregatum
Lineage: Bacteria; Pseudomonadati; Pseudomonadota; Alphaproteobacteria; Hyphomicrobiales; Stappiaceae
Also listed under: 22 other names
Description: Labrenzia aggregata tRNA-Ala
Rfam family: tRNA
About the family: Transfer RNA (tRNA) molecules are approximately 80 nucleotides in length. Their secondary structure includes four short double-helical elements and three loops (D, anti-codon, and T loops).
Source: RNAcentral
GGGGCCAUAGCUCAGUUGGGAGAGCGCUACAAUGGCAUUGUAGAGGUCAGGGGUUCGACUCCCCUUGGCUCCACCA